RNAcentral lists this transfer RNA (80 nucleotides) under Ailuropoda melanoleuca (giant panda). It matches the Rfam family "tRNA". From Rfam's summary of the family: Transfer RNA (tRNA) molecules are approximately 80 nucleotides in length. Lineage: Eukaryota; Metazoa; Chordata; Mammalia; Carnivora; Ursidae. The record is from Rfam by way of RNAcentral.
GCCUGGCUGGCUCAGUCAGUAGAGCAUGUGACAUGCAGCUCUUGAUCUCAGAGUCGUGAGUUUGAGCCCCACGCUGGGCG